RNAcentral lists this ribosomal RNA (574 nucleotides) under Yamadazyma tenuis. Its description in RNAcentral is "eukaryotic LSU rRNA". It matches the Rfam family "Eukaryotic large subunit ribosomal RNA", at positions 38 to 667 of the family's 3401-position model. Lineage: Eukaryota; Fungi; Ascomycota; Pichiomycetes; Serinales; Debaryomycetaceae. The record is from RNAcentral.
GCAUAUCAAUAAGCGGAGGAAAAGAAACCAACAGGGAUUGCCUUAGUAGCGGCGAGUGAAGCGGCAAUAGCUCAAAUUUGAAAUCUGGCACCUUCGGUGUCCGAGUUGUAAUUUGAAGAAGGUAUCUUUGGUUUUGGCUCUUGUCUAUGUUCCUUGGAACAGGACGUCACAGAGGGUGAGAAUCCCGUGCGAUGAGAUGCCCAAUUCCAUGUAAAGUUCCUUCGACGAGUCGAGUUGUUUGGGAAUGCAGCUCUAAGUGGGUGGUAAAUUCCAUCUAAAGCUAAAUAUUGGCGAGAGACCGAUAGCGAACAAGUACUGUGAAGGAAAGAUGAAAAGAACUUUGAAAAGAGAGUGAAAAAGUACGUGAAAUUGUUGAAAGGGAAGGGCUUGAGGUCAGACUUGGUUUUACCAGGCCAGCAUCAGUUUGGAUGGCAGGAUAAUAGCUAAGGAAAGUGGCUCCACUUCGGUGGUGUGUUAUAGCCUUAGUUGAUACUGCCUGUCUAGACUGAGGACUGCGUCUUUGACUAGGAUGCUGGCAUAAUGACCUUAAGCCGCCCGUCUUGAAACACGGACC